RNAcentral lists this ribosomal RNA (253 nucleotides) under uncultured bacterium. Its description in RNAcentral is "partial 16S ribosomal RNA". It matches the Rfam family "Bacterial small subunit ribosomal RNA", at positions 524 to 776 of the family's 1533-position model. The record is from RNAcentral.
UACGUAGGUGGCAAGCGUUGUCCGGAAUUAUUGGGCGUAAAGCGCGCGCAGGCGGUUCCUUAAGUCUGAUGUGAAAGCCCCCGGCUCAACCGGGGAGGGUCAUUGGAAACUGGGGAACUUGAGUGCAGGAGAGGAAAGCGGAAUUCCACGUGUAGCGGUGAAAUGCGUAGAUAUGUGGAGGAACACCAGUGGCGAAGGCGGCUUUCUGGUCUGUAACUGACGCUGAGGCGCGAAAGCGUGGGGAGCAAACAGG